AUAGAAUAAUUUAAAAUAAAAUAUUAAUUUUGGAAAUUAACAAUCGAUUGACGUUCUAUG
RNAcentral lists this transfer RNA (60 nucleotides) under Endomyzostoma sp. MZ-2009. RNAcentral's name for it is "tRNA-Pro". Lineage: Eukaryota; Metazoa; Annelida; Myzostomida; Endomyzostomatidae. The record is from RNAcentral.